GAUCUCCAUGAUUACUAUU
This 19-nucleotide small nuclear RNA is filed under the name Arabidopsis thaliana (thale cress). RNAcentral's name for it is "snRNA_17968". The record is from RNAcentral. Lineage: Eukaryota; Viridiplantae; Streptophyta; Magnoliopsida; Brassicales; Brassicaceae.